CAAAAAAGGAAAAAAAAA
RNAcentral lists this small RNA (18 nucleotides) under Arabidopsis thaliana (thale cress). RNAcentral's name for it is "ATSL249220". The record is from RNAcentral. Lineage: Eukaryota; Viridiplantae; Streptophyta; Magnoliopsida; Brassicales; Brassicaceae.